CAGUCGCCGCGGGAAUACGUAGGUGGCAAGCGUUGUCCGGAAUUAUUGGGCGUAAAGGGCUCGCAGGCGGUUCCUUAAGUCUGAUGUGAAAGCCCCCGGCUCAACCGGGGAGGGUCAUUGGAAACUGGGAAACUUGAGUGCAGAAGAGGAGAGUGGAAUUCCACGUGUAGCGGUGAAAUGCGUAGAGAUGUGGAGGAACACCAGUGGCGAAGGCGACUCUCUGGUCUGUAACUGACGCUGAGGAGCGAAAGCGUGGGGAGCGAACAGGAUUAGAUACCCCCGUAGUCCCUGUCUCUUAUAC
This 301-nucleotide ribosomal RNA is filed under the name uncultured bacterium. Its description in RNAcentral is "partial 16S ribosomal RNA". It matches the Rfam family "Bacterial small subunit ribosomal RNA", at positions 509 to 807 of the family's 1533-position model. The record is from RNAcentral.